AUUGAACGCUGGCGGCAGGCCUAACACAUGCAAGUCGAGCGGAUGAAGGGAGCUUGCUCCUGGAUUCAGCGGCGGACGGGUGAGUAAUGCCUAGGAAUCUGCCUGGUAGUGGGGGAUAACGUCCGGAAACGGGCGCUAAUACCGCAUACGUCCUGAGGGAGAAAGUGGGGGAUCUUCGGACCUCACGCUAUCAGAUGAGCCUAGGUCGGAUUAGCUAGUUGGUGGGGUAAAGGCCUACCAAGGCGACGAUCCGUAACUGGUCUGAGAGGAUGACCAGUCACACUGGAACUGAGACACGGUCCAGACUCCUACGGGAGGCAGCAGUGGGGAAUAUUGGACAAUGGGCGAAAGCCUGAUCCAGCCAUGACGCGUGUGUGAAGAAGGUCUUCGGAUUGUAAAGCACUUUAAGUUGGGAGGAAGGGCAGUAAGUUAAUACCUUGCUGUUUUGACGUUACCAACAGAAUAAGCACCGGCUAACUUCGUG
RNAcentral lists this ribosomal RNA (484 nucleotides) under uncultured bacterium. Its description in RNAcentral is "partial 16S ribosomal RNA". It matches the Rfam family "Bacterial small subunit ribosomal RNA", at positions 30 to 507 of the family's 1533-position model. The record is from RNAcentral.